GAUGAACGCUGGCGGCGUGCUUAACACAUGCAAGUCGAACGGAAAGGCCCAAGCUUGCUUGGGUGCUCGAGUGGCGAACGGGUGAGUAACACGCGGGUGAUCUGCCCUGCACUUUGGGAUAAGCCUGGGAAACUGGGUCUAAUACCGGAUAGGACCAUCGUUUAGUGUCGGUGGUGGAAAGUUUUUCGGUGUGGGAUGAGCUCGCGGCCUAUCAGCUUGUUGGUGGGGUAAUGGCCUACCAAGGCGUCGACGGGUAGCCGGCCUGGGAGGGUGGACGGCCACAUUGGGACUGAGAGACGGCCCAGACUCCUACGGGAGGCAGCAGUGGGGAAUAUUGCACAAUGGGCGCAAGCCUGAUGCAGCGGCGCCGCGUGGGGGAUGACGGCCUUCGGGUUGUAAACUCCUUUCGCCAAGGACGAAGCGUUUUGUGACGGUACUUGGAGAAGAAGCACCGGCUAACUACGUG
RNAcentral lists this ribosomal RNA (466 nucleotides) under uncultured bacterium. RNAcentral's name for it is "partial 16S ribosomal RNA". It matches the Rfam family "Bacterial small subunit ribosomal RNA", at positions 28 to 507 of the family's 1533-position model. The record is from RNAcentral.